Molecule: long non-coding RNA, 703 nt
Organism: Eupeodes corollae
Lineage: Eukaryota; Metazoa; Arthropoda; Insecta; Diptera; Syrphidae
Exons: 2
Source: RefSeq, a predicted model, not a curated record
GUUAUUUGUUUAACAUUUAUGAGUGAUAGUUUGUUUUGUACUUCAUUGUUGUUUUGUUUUACUUUAAUAUACUUAUAACUAGGAAUACAAGCUGAAGUUAAUCAAGCUGUUUUGUGUCCAAAUUAAAAUUAUUUCAUACAUUUUGUAUGCACUAAUAUUUACAUUAUUAUGUACAUUAUUUUCAUUGUUUUCAUAAUACAUAACAACUAUUUCUAAUUUCCUGUUUUUGAUUUUGCUUUUUGUUUUUCUUUUAGUUAUUUGUUUAUUUUGAUUUUGACAGUUUAUUUUGUUAAACAUUGAUUAUAUACAAGUCUGGGUUAGUUAUUUAAUAUAAUAUACUUAAUAUUUUCAGAAUGGAUCUUUUAUUUACCGCGCCACAUCCUGAUAACCACCCGGACUAGCACCAACCUCAUCAUUCACUUUAAAGUGUAAGAUGUGAAGAUGUCCCUCCAGUAACUGGCUAGUAAGGAUGCGGCGCGAUUAAUAUAUAACAAUAUUGACUCUAGUUACCCACGGUUCUGUCCUUGGACAGUUCUUCUAUAGAAUGAUGGUAGAGCGCACUCCAAACCAUUAGCAUUGUUUUCAAAGAUGAUUCCCAUUGGGGACAGACCAGCUCAUUCUUUCUAUGAAUUUUUUCAUGAGCGUAAAUGCAUAGGACAUCAGAGGGGUUACUUUAGAUUCAUUAUAAACAUAUUGAUUUGAA